Molecule: transfer RNA, 70 nt
Filed under: Dipodomys ordii (Ord's kangaroo rat)
Lineage: Eukaryota; Metazoa; Chordata; Mammalia; Rodentia; Heteromyidae
Rfam family: tRNA
About the family: Transfer RNA (tRNA) molecules are approximately 80 nucleotides in length. Their secondary structure includes four short double-helical elements and three loops (D, anti-codon, and T loops).
Source: Rfam by way of RNAcentral
GGGAAUAUGGCUUAGUGGUAGAGUACUUGCCUAGCAUGCAUGAAGCCCUGGGUUCAAUUCCUCAGUACCA